This 315-nucleotide ribosomal RNA is filed under the name uncultured archaeon. RNAcentral's name for it is "bacterial SSU rRNA". It matches the Rfam family "Archaeal small subunit ribosomal RNA", at positions 1029 to 1343 of the family's 1478-position model. The record is from RNAcentral.
UUAAGUCAGGCAACAAGCGAGACCCACGCCCACAGUUGCCAGCGUACUCUCUGGAGUGACGGGUACACUGUGGGGACCGCCGCUGCUAAAGCGGAGGAAGGUGCGGGCUACGGUAGGUCAGUAUGCCCCGAAUCAUCCGGGCUACACGCGGGCUACAAUGGUUGGGACAAUGGGCACCUACACCGAGAGGUGAUGGUAAUCUCCUAAACCCAGCCUUAGUUCGGAUUGAGGGCUGCAACUCGCCCUCAUGAAGCCGGAAUCCGUAGUAAUCGCGUAUCAAUAUCACGCGGUGAAUACGUCCCUGCUCCUUGCACA